UACGUAGGUGGCAAGCGUUAUCCGGAAUUAUUGGGCGUAAAGAGCGCGCAGGUGGUUGAUUAAGUCUGAUGUGAAAGCCCACGGCUUAACCGUGGAGGGUCAUUGGAAACUGGUCGACUUGAGUGCAGAAGAGGGAAGUGGAAUUCCAUGUGUAGUGGUGAAAUGCGUAGAGAUAUGGAGGAACACCAGUGGCGAAGGCGGCUUCCUGGUCUGUAACUGACACUGAGGCACGAAAGCGUGGGGAGCAAACAGGAUUAGAUA
This 261-nucleotide ribosomal RNA is filed under the name uncultured prokaryote. Its description in RNAcentral is "partial 16S ribosomal RNA". It matches the Rfam family "Bacterial small subunit ribosomal RNA", at positions 524 to 784 of the family's 1533-position model. The record is from RNAcentral.